UUCGCCCUUAGAGUUUGAUCCUGGCUCAGGAUGAACUCUGGCGGCGUGCAUAACACAUUCAAGUCGAACGGAGUUACUACGAAUGAGACCUUCGGGUGGAUUUUGUUUUAACUUAGUGGCGGACGGGUGAGUAACGCGUGAGCAACCUGCCUUUGUGAGGGGAAUAACGUUUGGAAACGAACGCUAAUACCGCAUAAUGUAUAGGAACCGCAUGAUUCUUAUACCAAAGAUUUAUCGCACAAAGAUGGGCUCGCGUCUGAUUAGAUAGUUGGUGAGGUAACGGCCCACCAAGUCUGCGAUCAGUAGCCGGACUGAGAGGUUGAACGGCCACAUUGGAACUGAGAUACGGUCCAGACUCCUACGGGAGGCAGCAGUGGGGAAUAUUGGGCAAUGGACGCAAGUCUGACCCAGCGACGCCGCGUGAAGGAAGAAGGCCUUCGGGUUGUAAACUUUAGUUAUCAGGGAAGAAUUUUGACGGUACCUGAAGAGAAAGCCACGGCUAACUACGUGCCAGCAGCCGCGGUAAUACGUAGGUGGCGAGCGUUAUCCGGAUUUACUGGGCGUAAAGGGUGUGUAGGCGGGACUGCAAGUCAGAUGUGAAAAUUAUGGGCUCAACUCAUAACCUGCAUUUGAAACUGUAGUUCUUGAGAGCCGGAGGGGUAAAUGGAAUUCCCAGUGUAGCGGUGAAAUGCGUAGAUAUUGGGAGGAACACCAGUGGCGAAGGCGAUUUACUGGACGGCAACUGACGCUGAGACACGAAAGUGUGGGGAGCAAACAGGAUUAGAUACCCUGGUAGUCCACACCGUAAACGAUGAAUGCUAGGUGUAGGGGAGCAAUCCUCUGUGCCGCAGCUAACGCAAUAAGCAUUCCGCCUGGGGAGUACGGCCGCAAGGUUGAAACUCAAAGGAAUUGACGGGAGCCCGCACAAGCAGUGGAGUAUGUGGUUUAAUUCGACGCAACGCGAAGAACCUUACCAGGACUUGACAUCCCGAGAACCCGACGUAAUGGUUGGGGUGCCCUUCGGGGAAUUCGGUGACAGGUGGUGCAUGGUUAUCGUCAGCUCGUGUCGUGAGAUGUUGGGUUAAGUCCCGCAACGAGCGCAACCCUUGCCUUUAGUUACUAACAUUAAGUUGAGGACUCUAAAGGGACUGCCGAGGUUAACUCGGAGGAAGGUGGGGAUGACGUCAAAUCAUCAUGCCCCUUAUGUUCUGGGCUACACACGUGCUACAAUGGUCGGUACAAUGAGAAGCAAAACAGCGAUGUGGAGCAAAUCACCAAAACCGAUCCCAGUUCGGACUGUAGGCUGCAACUCGCCUACACGAAGUCGGAGUUGCUAGUAAUCGCGGAUCAGCAUGCCGCGGUGAAUGCGUUCCCGGGUCUUGCACACACCGCCGGUCA
RNAcentral lists this ribosomal RNA (1398 nucleotides) under uncultured bacterium. RNAcentral's name for it is "16S ribosomal RNA". It matches the Rfam family "Bacterial small subunit ribosomal RNA". The record is from RNAcentral.